CUUCUACGGUCAGACUUUCGGACUAGACUAUCGGCUAACUUACCGAUUGAGCCCCGACCAAAGAAAGGCGAAAUGCCUACGCGACCGCCGUCGUGACUUACCGACCGAGCUACGAUCGGUCGAAGGAUAUUCGACUUACCACCGUCUAUCACACGAUGCGACCUCAGUCGCAUUCAUGACUCACCGACCGAGCUACGGCCGGCCGGAAGAUAUUCGGCUUACCACCGU
This 228-nucleotide long non-coding RNA is filed under the name Elaeis guineensis (African oil palm). RNAcentral's name for it is "long non-coding RNA (EGUI_LNC075709)". Lineage: Eukaryota; Viridiplantae; Streptophyta; Magnoliopsida; Arecales; Arecaceae. The record is from RNAcentral.